RNAcentral lists this long non-coding RNA (1406 nucleotides) under Homo sapiens (human). RNAcentral's name for it is "HSALNT0178499". Lineage: Eukaryota; Metazoa; Chordata; Mammalia; Primates; Hominidae. The record is from RNAcentral.
CUCAGCCCAGGGCCUGACACACAGGAUCGCUCAGCAACAAAGGAGCCAGAAAAGGCAAGGUGUACACACCGUGUGCAGCAUGGGCGAGCUGCAGGCAUGCAGGUCACUAUCCUUAAUCCCUCUCCCUGUGGGGUCUUCCCUAUCUUGAGCCUGUGGACAGCUGUGCAGUGGCAAGAAAAAGGCCUUCAGAGCUACGCAGACCUGGCUUCAAAUCCCAGCCUCCCUGAUGAGCCCUGGUGGUCUUGCAUGCUUGCCCUUGGGACUCAGACACCAUAUUGUGAGGAAGCCCAAGCUACAUGCAGAGGCCACUAUAGUUGUUCUGGCCAACAGCCCAAGCUUCAGCUGCCAGACAUAUAAAUAAACCAACUCUUCAAAUGAUUUCAGUUUCCAGACUUCAGUGCAUCCCAGGAAUGCCUUCUUCAUCUGUUGAAAUCCAGCCCAUCUAUGAAGAGUCAAAGGCCGCCUUGGCCGUGAAGGCCUCUGGUGCUGUGGGCCCAUGCCAGGGCCCAGGCCCAGGGGUUCUGCAGAGACCACCAGGAUCCCAGCAGGACAAUAGGAAAUCUCAGCAGAGGCAUUCCAGAACACGGAAAAGCCAGUUCCUGAUGAAUCCAGAGGAUGUUCAAAGCUCACCAGGCCAAUGAACCCCGACGGAUUCCCCAGUGGGCCCUCUCUCCUUUCCGUAGAUCUUCUAGGAGUUUUACCAUUUAAAGAGAACUGCAGGAGGCCAUCUUAACCAGACUGUAUGUUUCAUUAAACCAAGAAUGGUAUUUAUUCUAGCAGUAUUCUAGGCACUGGGAUACAACAAAGAGCACAAAUUGAGAGGUGACAGCGUGCUGGCAGUCCUCACAGCCCUCGCUCGCUCUCGGCGCCUCCUCUGCCUGGGCUCCCACUUUGGCGGCACUUGAGGAGCCCUUUGGCCCGCCGCUGCACUGUGGGAGCCCCUUUAUGGGCUGGCCAAGGCUGGAGCCCACUCCCUCAGCUUGCAGGGAGGUGUGGAGGGAGAGGUGCGAGCGGGAACCAGGGCUGCGUGCGGCGCUUGCGGGCCAGCUGGAGUUCCGGGUGGGCGUGGGCUUGGCAGGCCCGGCACUCGGAGUAGCCGGCCAGCCCUGCUGGCCCCGGGCAAUGAGGGACUUAGCACCCGGGCCAGUGGCUGCGGAGGGUGUACUGGGUCCCCCAGCAGUGCCAGCCCACCGGUGCUGCACUCGAUUUCUCACCGAGCCUUAGUUGCCUUCCUGCGGGGCAGGGCUCGGGACCUGCAGCCUGCCAUGCCUGAGCCUCCCACCCACUCCAUGGGCUCCUGUGCAGCCCGAGCCUCCCCAACGAGCAUCACUCCCUGCUCCACGGCGCCCAGUCCCAUCGACCACCCAAGGGCUGAGGAAUGCGAGCACACAGCACGUGACUGGCAG